GUUAACAAAAUAAAGUACUAUUAAAUUUGAGUAGUUUAAUAAAAAACAUUACACUUUCAUCGUAAAAUUAAUUAUUUCUCAA
RNAcentral lists this transfer RNA (82 nucleotides) under Platerodrilus maninjauensis. RNAcentral describes it as "tRNA-Glu". Lineage: Eukaryota; Metazoa; Arthropoda; Insecta; Coleoptera; Lycidae. The record is from RNAcentral.